GGCCGAUUCCCGUUUCUUCGUCCGUCGCACGCACGCACGCACGCACGCGCACACCUCCUCUCAUCCCCGUCUCACGAUGAGCAGGGGAUCAAUGGAUGUAAGGUUCGGCUUCCAAUCCAUCGAGGACGCCGGCCAGUCCACCGAGGGGAGAGUCCAAAUUGUGCACGCGAAAGCCCUAGGCGUCGCGCAUACCAUCUUCGCCGCCUCGCCCAGCGUUUGCUCGCCUUAGCUCGCGGAGAUGGAGCAGGACGCGCCACCCGUCCCGCACCAGGCCCAGGACGACGGCGCCGUGGACGGCUGGGCGCGCGACGACACGGAGCCCUCCCCUACGGCGUCCCGGCGGAGUGCCCCGAGGCGUAGGUCCUCCUCCUUGCCGCCGCCUCCGUGCAGCCGCUCGUCCGCGACCCUCAACUACGACUCGGUGGGAGGAGCCCUGCGACGACCUCGACGCCUGUUCCCGCGAGCACGACCACUGCGUCCGCCCCGCAAGAAAGCCGCAUGGAUUGGGGAUAUGUACUUCGGUUUGGGUUCAUCAAAAGGGGCAAUUGUUGAGCACUUGUAUCAACUAUCGAGGAUCUCAACUUCACAUGGAUCACACUAUGAUCAAGUGCAUUCUGGUGGUGUGAUGAUUGUGACGGAAAAUGUUAGCAGCAGAAGCAAUCGCUACGAUUUUGACCUCCAUACGAAAUCUGCAAGGGUAACAACAGCAAAGGAAACUGGUGUAAGUUGAGUACUAAGACUCGAAGAUGAGCUACCAUCAAGAUUAUGUCUCGACAAUCAAGUAUACUGAAUUUUUUUACCGAACUCACAGAAGUAGAUUGUGUAUCCCAUCCAACGUUCAACCUAAUGGACAUUGAGGGAACCACUUUGAGUAGGCAAUUGUUUCUGUGGAGGAAAAUGCAUGAUACUAAAGCUAAGCUUCCUUUGGUCCAGAUGAAAUCAAGGCAACUGGGUCUUCUAUCUUCAAACAUCAAUUUGUUUAAUUUAAGCCCAGACCAUGCUGGCAGUGAGUCGGAAUCAGUUAAAAUCGUUAUGUUCUCAAGUGUUUCUCUUGCCCACAAAUACAUUUAUUCAUUUUCGUUGACCUUGCUAUGUUCUAUUGUAAUUCGAGUUCGAAUAUUUAUUUUGUAGCCCUGCUUUGUGCUGUCCUAAUUCAAGUUGCGCUGCCACAAAAUGCUUCUAAUUUAACUGUUGUAAGCGCAGCAAUAGGAGCAGCGCAGGCGGCCACUUCAUCUAAGCUUACAUGGAACGUAUGCCCUGUUGCAGCCUCGCAGGUCAUUAUCAUCUCAUCUCACCACACUCAUGCCACAUAACCUGAUAAUUGAUGAAAAAACUUUGAUAAAGAAAUACCGGCGCCGUCUCAUCGUCUUCAUCGACAUGAGCAUCUCUGUCGGUCCACGCGUCCAUGCCUCCCCAUCUACCGUGCUGGAGUGGCCGCCUCCUGGUUGAGGCUGAGGUGAGCACCAUGAGGAUGAGGAGGUCAGUGGCUGAUAUAGAGAGCUCCUCGAACGAGGAAGUAGCAGUUCUGGAGCAACUCAAAGAUGUCAUUUUUCAGUUUUGAUGGGAAUCGGUACAACAACAAUUAGAACAGACUGCAUUGCACGUUCAGAACCAAUUUCUAGGGGAUUAUGGCAAGUAGCAGUGAUCGUUCGGGUUCUUGGGGAACGGCAUUUACAGUUCAGUAGGAAAUUUCAAGCAUGGACCAAGGAAACAAGAUGCUGAUGGAGUGUCAUGUAUUGCUGCUACCUGAUUUUCUGUGAGCUUUCAAAUUAGUUCUGCGUUGUCCUUCAACAACUGCUUUGUAUAAUCCAGAAGAAUUGGUAUCUGCAUAGGCAAUUGGUACCACGGUUAUUGGACAAAGUUCUGUACUGACAGUCCAAAACUUUGUGGUCGCCCAGGCUAUUCAGCCUUUAAUCAUAUUUAACAUCAUCAGGGUCUCUGGACAAACAAGCUCGAGGAGGCCAUUGUUUGGUGCAGCCCACGACGACAACGACACCAUUGACCACUGAAGCAAGGUCCUUAUAUGGUCACUGAAGAAAUCAUCUUUUCUUCCGACAGAAGGGCACUUUUCUUGAAUCUUUGUCAGUGUCUGUUGUAAUUUACUAUCAUCCCUAAGACAAACUUGAUUCUGUGUUGCCGUUCUUUA
Molecule: long non-coding RNA, 2146 nt
Organism: Triticum dicoccoides
Lineage: Eukaryota; Viridiplantae; Streptophyta; Magnoliopsida; Poales; Poaceae
Exons: 14
Source: RefSeq, a predicted model, not a curated record